GGGACAGAAGAGACAGGUGGUGGCAUGGUUGUCGUCAGCUCGUGUCGUGAGAUGUUGGGUUAAGUCCCGCACGAGCGCAACCCUUAUCAUUAGUUGCUAACAUUCAGUUGAGAACUCUAAUGAGACUGCCAGUGAUAAACUGGAGGAAGGUGGGGAUGACGUCAAAUCAUCAUGCCCCUUAUGACCUGGGCUAUACACGUGCUACAAUGGCCGGUACAAAGAGUUGCGAAACUGUGAAGUUAAGCUAAUCUCAUAAAGCCGGUCUCAGUUCGGAUUGUAGUCUGCAACUCGACUACAUGAAGUCGGAAUCGCUAGUAAUCGCGAAUCAGAAUGUCGCGGUGAAUACGUUCUCGAGUCUU
This 359-nucleotide ribosomal RNA is filed under the name uncultured Bacillota bacterium. Its description in RNAcentral is "bacterial SSU rRNA". It matches the Rfam family "Bacterial small subunit ribosomal RNA", at positions 1022 to 1382 of the family's 1533-position model. Lineage: Bacteria; Bacillati; Bacillota. The record is from RNAcentral.